UGGGGAAUAUUGCACAAUGGGCGAAAGCCUGAUGCAGCAACGCCGCGUGAGUGAUGAAGGUCUUCGGAUUGUAAAGCUCUGUCUUUUGGGACGAUAAUGACGGUACCAAAGGAGGAAGCCACGGCUAACUACGUGCCAGCAGCCGCGGUAAUACGUAGGUGGCGAGCGUUGUCCGGAUUUACUGGGCGUAAAGGGUGCGUAGGCGGAUGUUUAAGUGAGAUGUGAAAUACCCGGGCUUAACUUGGGUGCUGCAUUUCAAACUGGAUAUCUAGAGUGCAGGAGAGGAGAAUGGAAUUCCUAGUGUAGCGGUGAAAUGCGUAGAGAUUAGGAAGAACACCAGUGGCGAAGGCGAUUCUCUGGACUGUAACUGACGCUGAGGCACGAAAGCGUGGGUAGCAAACAGGAUUAGAUACCCUGGUAGUCCACGCCGUAAACGAUGAGUACUAGGUGUAGGAGGUAUCGACCCCUUCUGUGCCGCAGUAAACACAUUAAGUACUCCGCCUGGGGAAG
Molecule: ribosomal RNA, 510 nt
Filed under: uncultured bacterium
Lineage: Bacteria
Description: partial 16S ribosomal RNA
Rfam family: Bacterial small subunit ribosomal RNA
Source: RNAcentral